RNAcentral lists this ribosomal RNA (305 nucleotides) under uncultured bacterium. Its description in RNAcentral is "bacterial SSU rRNA". It matches the Rfam family "Bacterial small subunit ribosomal RNA", at positions 333 to 636 of the family's 1533-position model. The record is from RNAcentral.
UUGCGCCUACGGGGGGCAGCAGUGAGGAAUAUUGGUCAAUGGACGGAAGUCUGAACCAGCCGUGCCGCGUGCAGGAAGACGGCUCUAUGAGUUGUAAACUGCUUUUGUACAAGGGUAAACCUGAAUACGUGUAUUCAGCUGAAAGUACUGUACGAAUAAGGAUCGGCUAACUCCGUGCCAGCAGCCGCGGUAAUACGGAGGAUGCGAGCGUUAUCCGGAUUUAUUGGGUUUAAAGGGUGCGUAGGCGGGCUGCCAAGUCAGCGGUAAAAUUGCGGGGCUCAACCCCGUCGAGCCGUUGAAACUGG